AAUUAAAAUAAUACAAGCUUUAUAUUACAAGCCAGGGGCCUCGAAGGCUCGAAUACAAGAGCUCGAUCAUAGACGAGUCAGCGGAAGCAACAAUAUCUGAGUACAGACAUAAGUUAAACGAGUUGCCUUAAGAAGGCUAGCACAAACUGGGAUAUAGAUCGAAAGAGGCGCAGGCCUCCUGCCUGGGAUCCUCCUAAACUACUCCUGGUCAUCGUCAGUGGGCUGCACGUAGUAGUAGGCACCUCCCGAGUAGUAGUAGUCAUCAUCGACAGUGGCGUCUGGCUCCUGGGUAAAUAAUACAAGCUCGAAAGUAGAGCAUGGUUAACAAAGAAGAGGAUACAAUUUACCAAAGGCAUUAUAUACCCAUGGAAAGGCUCACAAGGUUAUUGAAUAUGAAAGACACUGUCGGAUAAUAAUCCAACAAGAGGUAUGGUGGUCUACAACGGAGCUGAUGUGAGUUUCGGAACUCUAUCAAACGAAGAAUGAAUGCAAGUGCAUCGGAUUAUAGAAACAACUAACUAACUCAAAGCUCAAAUGCAAAGGAAUUAUGAAUUCCAGGACAAGGGAUCAUAAGCAAUGCUCUGAUUAGGAAUGGAUAAGUUGAAUAUCCUUAGGGGUACAAUCGACAACAAUUUGAUUGGUCGAGAUCCAACUCAUGUUUAAAAUGACGUCUGAGCCAAAAGGAUGAAUUCUAGGAUUCGACUGAGGAAUGGGAGCAUCCUCAAUAUAUUGAAUCAACGGACUUAAGAUCAUAAAGACAAGGGAUGUCAAUAAGAUUACGAGACUUAUGGGAUUAACCAUAAUGCAAGAAAGCAAGAAUUUCAAGAUCAAUAGGCUGCUCAGGAUUUUCGGAAGAUCGAAUGGUAUUUCGAAGACUUUUACGAAAUACAUGAAUCAACUAGGGGUGAGCGGAUACUCGGUAAGUGCGAGGAAUUAUCCAUAGGGGAAUUCAGGCGGCAAAGAACUGCAGGGCAGUAGACACAAGGGAUUCUCGGAAUAUCGGAAGUAUUUCAAGGUAUCUUGUAAUAACAAGAAUUGGAGAUGAAGUUAUGACCGACAAGUGUAUGUAGCUUCCCAUAGGGAUUUACCAGUGGUAUGGGAUUGCAACGGCGAAGGGCACAAGGGUCUCGAGGAAACAUCGGACAGUAGCUUCAAAAUUUUCAGGUGCAGCAGGCGAUCAUCUGGAGUGAAGGGGCUCUCCGGGAGAAGUAUUUUCGAGAACCUAAAGUUAGAUUUUAGAAAAAUCAUUUAACCCGAGUAGAAGAGAGUUCAGAGUCCCAGAGUAAGGAUCGAGGAGUAAAAGAUCCUAAUACCACCCAGAUGGCGACGUGGGCCUGUAAGGCACACAACCAUGUUAGCAAAAGUUUUUGUAAUGUCUAGACUCGACUUCGGCCAAGGAGUGUGGAAGGGGGAUUCCUACAGGCAGUCUACUCUGAUACCAACUUGUGACGCCCCCGAUUUGACCGUACACUAAUCAUGCACGCAAAUGUGUACGACCAAGAUCAGGAACUCACGGGAAGAUAUCACAACACAACUCUAGACAUAAAUUAAAAUAAUACAAGCUUUAUAUUACAAGCCAGGGGCCUCGAAGGCUCGAAUACAAGAGCUCGAUCAUAGACGAGUCAGCGGAAGCAACAAUAUCUGAGUACAGACAUAAGUUAAACAAGUUGCCUUAAGAAGGCUAGCACAAACUAGGAUACAGAUCAAAAGAGGCGCAGGCCUCCUGCCUGGGAUCCUCCUAAACUACUCCUGGUCGUCGUCAGCGGGCUGCAUGUAGUAGUAGG
This 1784-nucleotide long non-coding RNA is filed under the name Triticum aestivum (bread wheat). RNAcentral describes it as "long non-coding RNA (TAES_LNC020446)". Lineage: Eukaryota; Viridiplantae; Streptophyta; Magnoliopsida; Poales; Poaceae. The record is from RNAcentral.